CAUAUCAAUAAGCGGAGGAAAAGAAACCAACAGGGAUUGCCUUAGUAGCGGCGAGUGAAGCGGCAAAAGCUCAAAUUUGAAAUCUGGCACCUUCGGUGUCCGAGUUGUAAUUUGAAGAUUGUAACCUUGGGGUUGGCUCUUGUCUAUGUUUCUUGGAACAGGACGUCACAGAGGGUGAGAAUCCCGUGCGAUGAGAUGCCCAAUCCUAUGUAAGGUGCUUUCGAAGAGUCGAGUUGUUUGGGAAUGCAGCUCUAAGUGGGUGGUAAAUUCCAUCUAAAGCUAAAUAUUGGCGAGAGACCGAUAGCGAACAAGUACAGUGAUGGAAAGAUGAAAAGAACUUUGAAAAGAGAGUGAAAAAGUACGUGAAAUUGUUGAAAGGGAAGGGUUUGAGAUCAGACUCGAUAUUUUGUGAGCCUUGCCUUCGUGGCGGGGUGACCCGCAGCUUAUCGGGCCAGCAUCGGUUUGGGCGGUAGGAUAAUGGCGUAGGAAUGUGACUUUGCUUCGGUGAAGUGUUAUAGCCUGCGUUGAUGCUGCCUGCCUAGACCGAGGACUGCGAUUUUAUCAAGGAUGCUGGCAUAAUGAUCCCAAACCGC
This 593-nucleotide ribosomal RNA is filed under the name Meyerozyma sp. E1-1-2. Its description in RNAcentral is "partial 28S ribosomal RNA". It matches the Rfam family "Eukaryotic large subunit ribosomal RNA", at positions 39 to 648 of the family's 3401-position model. The record is from RNAcentral. RNAcentral also lists the same sequence under 1 other name. Lineage: Eukaryota; Fungi; Ascomycota; Pichiomycetes; Serinales; Debaryomycetaceae.